AUUUACAACACAAGGACUCUAUGAAUCGCAUAACGAAGAGAGAGCUAAUUAUUAUCUUAAUUAGACUAUUUAUUAAUACCUAUGGAUCACAUUAGUAUUUGCGAUUUGCCAUGUAUGUAGUAGGGUCGCUCCAAACACCUCGAAGAUAGUCUUUAAAGCUACUAGUUUGCUAUUCCUAAUUUAUACCAUUUGUAACCACCGAAAUGUUGCGGUACAUUUCCAGGGAAAACACCUUAAGCUUGCUGCAAACUGUAAAUGGAUUUCGCGAGUACGCUCUUUACGUUUAUCCCGAGGAUUUGCACCUUUUGAAGUCGGAUAUCGUACCAUCGCUGUCGUCGUUGCCAAACUAAGAUUGGUCUUCAUUGUCCGCCGCUAUACAGACAGGACAGGGGGAAGCACGAAUAUCAAUGUAAAGUGAGACGGGUCUUGAACUGGGGGCAAUCUGGACAGUGCAUCGGCCAAUGGAUGACAGUUGGGGAAGGACCACCUUACGUUGAGAAUAUUUUCAAUGAAUGCAUAAGACCGAUAAAUAAAAUUCAACAGCGACGACGAAUGAAAACACUCGAAAGAUGCUAACCGAUAACAUUUCGAGGUACGUGCUUCAAAUUCAACGACUCCGGAGAAUAUACAUAGAACCUGUAACCGGUGUUGUUAAAGGGUUAAAGGUUGUUACAGCAGUUGCGUGUAAGGAUUAGAAUGUAAAUUAGCUUCGAGUCCCGUCAUAAUGCGAUCUAAUCUUGUUAUGUUUACGAAAUAUGAUGCUGAUGGAGCGCUUGUCAAUCACUUUUGGUAGUAGGAGGCGACAUCCAUUGGUUAGGAAGCGACAGCUGAAUACGGACCAAGGGAGAUAUCGUUAUUUAUGCUACAAGUGUCCCCGGAACUCCCCAUCGUGUGCACACAAAAAUCUAUGGCAACCGAUUUUAAUCCAAACUAAUAAUAAAACUUCGUCACGAAUAUUUUUCAGUAAUACUUUGUCGGUAUUAAAAGAGUAGUAAGUGUAAACCCACAUUCCAACGGUAAGUCACAGAAAAUAUUAGAUUUGAGAGAUUGUUGUGGUUUAGCUGGCCUAAGGAUAGCCUAUUUUCAGAAAUUUCUUUUGUAGAAAUGUGUCUAAUUUGUUUACAUCGUAAGGAUCCAAGUUGAGGACAUGUUUAAAUGUCUGCGUUUCCCACCGCCGAUGUAACUGGCGUAUUUAACCCCAAGGAACUUGAUAAUAUUUAUGCUUGACGGACUAUUGAACCAAAAUUUCCGAAAAAUUUGCGUAACUGUCGGCAGGAGCUGGUAACUCGGGUAUACAAUACACGAAUGGUGCGAAAUACGCGUAAGAUAGAAGGUUAAAGGCGUCAGCGUUGUAACGCGCAACACUGUCCGAGCAGCCAACUAUUCCUAGGCAACGAAUGAAGUCACCAUGCCGCGACAACUUGACAUGUUGGUACAGAGGCCACGCGAUGAUCAUACGAGCAUUAACAAAUAGCGGACCACCCACAGGGUACCUACCGUCCACUCUACCACUACAUGUGUAGCUCUGAAGGGAAGUUCAUCAUGGACAGGUGGUCACGAAUCAUGGCCGCCCCUGUCCGCUACGUCAGUUUCUCUCGUAUCAAGCAAUUAAGGCGCAUGGGAAGGUAGACGAGCAUUAGCCGUUUCGCCUGGAAAACGAAUAUUGCAGGAUAUAUGUGUAUGUGUAAUACUUGUAUUUUUCAAAAGUGAAAUUGUUGUAGAGCAAAAACGCAUGCGAAGGAAAAUGUGAACA
Hylaeus volcanicus is the source of this 1753-nucleotide long non-coding RNA. RefSeq lists it as uncharacterized. The record is from RefSeq and is a predicted model, not a curated record. Lineage: Eukaryota; Metazoa; Arthropoda; Insecta; Hymenoptera; Colletidae. The transcript is spliced from 3 exons.